GCGCCUGUAGCUCAGUUGGAUAGAGCAACGGAUUUCUAAUCCGUAGGUCGGGGGUUCGAAUCCCUCCAGGCGCG
RNAcentral lists this transfer RNA (74 nucleotides) under Caldifarciminota bacterium SM1_77. RNAcentral describes it as "tRNA-Arg". It matches the Rfam family "tRNA". Rfam says of the family: Transfer RNA (tRNA) molecules are approximately 80 nucleotides in length. Their secondary structure includes four short double-helical elements and three loops (D, anti-codon, and T loops). Further hydrogen bonds mediate the characteristic L-shaped molecular structure. tRNAs have two regions of fundamental functional importance: the anti-codon, which is responsible for specific mRNA codon recognition, and the 3' end, to which the tRNAs corresponding amino acid is attached (by aminoacyl-tRNA synthetases). tRNAs cope with the degeneracy of the genetic code in two manners: having more than one tRNA (with a specific anti-codon) for a particular amino acid; and 'wobble' base-pairing, i.e. permitting non-standard base-pairing at the 3rd anti-codon position. The record is from RNAcentral. Lineage: Bacteria; Pseudomonadati; Caldifarciminota.